CAGCAGCCGCGGUAAUACGUAGGGUGCGAGCGUUAAUCGGAAUUACUGGGCGUAAAGGGUGCGCAGGCGGCUCUGUAAGUCUGACGUGAAAUCCCCGGGCUCAACCUGGGAACUGCGUUGGAAACUGUAAAACUAGAGUGUAGCAGAGGGGGGUAGAAUUCCACGUGUAGCAGUGAAAUGCGUAGAUAUGUGGAGGAAUACCGAUGGCGAAGGCAGCCCCCUGGGUUAACACUGACGCUCAUGCACGAAAGCGUGGGUAGCAAACAGGAUUAGAUACCCUGGUAGUCCACGCCCUAAACGAUGUCAACUAGUUGUUGGGGAAGGAGACCUCCUUGGUAACGCAGCUAACGCGUGAAGUUGACCGCCUGGGGAGUACGGUCGCAAGAUUAAAACUCAAAGGAAUUGACGGGGCCCGCACAAGCGGUGGAUAAUGUGGAUUAAUUCGAUGCAACGCGAAAAACCUUACCUACCCUUGACAUGUACGGAAGACUGCAGAGAUGUGGUUGUGCUCGAAAGAGAACCGUAACACAGGUGCUGCAUGGCUGUCGUCAGCUCGUGUCGUGAGAUGUUGGGUUAAGUCCCGCAACGAGCGCAACCCUUGUCAUUAAUUGCCAUCAUUCAGUUGGGCACUUUAAUGAGACUGCCGGUGACAAACCGGAGGAAGGCGGGGAUGACGUCAAGUCCUCAUGGCCCUUAUGGGUAGGGCUUCACACGUAAUACAAUGGUGGGUACAGAGGGUUGCGAAGCCGCGAGAUGGAGCCAAUCCCAGAAAGCGGAUCGUAGUCCGGAUUGUAGUCUGCAACUCGACUACAUGAAGUCGGAAUCGCUAGUAAUCGCGGAUCAGCAUGUCGCGGUGAAUACGUUCCCGGGCCUUGUACACACCGCCCGUCACACCAUGGGAGUGGGUAUUACCAGAAGCAGGUAGCCUAACCGCGAGGGAGGCGCCUGCCACGGUAGGAUUCAUGACUGGGGUG
Molecule: ribosomal RNA, 974 nt
Filed under: uncultured beta proteobacterium
Lineage: Bacteria; Pseudomonadati; Pseudomonadota; Betaproteobacteria
Description: bacterial SSU rRNA
Rfam family: Bacterial small subunit ribosomal RNA
Source: RNAcentral